Molecule: long non-coding RNA, 883 nt
Filed under: Taeniopygia guttata (zebra finch)
Lineage: Eukaryota; Metazoa; Chordata; Aves; Passeriformes; Estrildidae
Description: lncRNA (ENSTGUG00000026055.1)
Source: RNAcentral
CUAUUUUAACUCAGCCUGAGAACAUUGAGUGGUGAGGGUAAGGGCCAGAGGCACAGUUUGUUCUUCAGAGCACUUGUUGCUAGACAUUCCCAGAAGGUAUUAUUGCUUAAAUACAGCUUGUGUUUUCUUUACCCAGAUUCCUUUAGCAAGGAGGAUAUGACAGGUUGUGGUAUCGGACUGCAGUGAAGUUCCACCGGUGCUAUUCUACCCUCCAUGAGUGAGCACUGCUGGGCUGUGAGCUGGCAAGCUCAUGCCCUUUUUUUGGAGGCUUGAGCCAACUGCUUUUGAUCUGGGAGCUUACAGAAUGGAUGAGAUAUUCACAGGAAGACUUUUCUGUGAUUAUAGAAGAGCAGAUUUAAUCUGGAAGUCAUUGAGAGAAACCAAUAAAGAACUUCCUUGAUGUGAUUUUUGGAGUUACUUGCUGGAAUUGAAUUGAAUGGUUUUGGGUAUUGAACAUAAAGGUACUUGAAAGCUUAAAGAAGCUUAAAUGUAGAUGAUAAUGAAAAUGUUACUGGUAUUUAUAGGUUGGUUGAUAAUGUCAACAUAUUAAAGUGAUAUUAAAUAUCUCCUUGAUUUCAUGGACAGUGUCUUACUUUAUAUAGUUUAUUGUAAUAACAUGAUCCUUGAUAUACACUGAUGAUAACUUUAGCUUUAUAAAUUUUUUUUAAUAAUCCAGUUGCCCUGAAAUGCCGUAUCAAAAGUAUGUUUAUUACAAAACAAGUACAGUUACUCUCUGCCAGUGUUAUCUCUAUGAAAGCAACCUAAGCUAAGAAAGCACAUUUGGAAAAAAAACGUGCCAAGCAGAGGUGGUUGGUUUUUUUUUUCUUUUGUUAGACUUUCUGGGAACAUUCAUUAGUAGUUGGAGAUGUGGUCUUUCAACUAA